Non-coding RNA from Salmo salar (Atlantic salmon), 1134 nucleotides. NCBI's taxonomy places the organism in Eukaryota, Metazoa, Chordata, Actinopteri, Salmoniformes, Salmonidae. The record is from RefSeq and is a predicted model, not a curated record.
UGAGGAAGGAAAGGCGCGUGAUGCAUGUUGCCAUACAAUCAUUGAAGGGAAUACAACUGUUAUAUCCCCACUUCUGAUGCCAGAUGCCAAGCAGAGUUGUGGGGCAAUGGUCCAGUGUGCGCAGGAGGGGGCAACUGGGCGAGCUAAGAGCCGAAAUUGAAGACCAGGAACAGCCAGACAACAUGAGAUCCUUCAACCCUGAGCCGGAGAGAGAAUAAGUUACAUCUCCAGAGAUGUGGUACCAGACCGACGUUCCGCCAAAGUCAACGUGGAAGUCUGUGAAGCAGCCCUGGACACUCAUCAGACAGUACCUGAAAGAGAGAGAUAGAGGGAAGAAAAUACAUCUUUACAUCCAACAUCAACCAGCACUGAAACAAUAUGCCUUGGCCACAUGUUGUCCACCCAGUCUAUCAAAUCCACCUGGGGAGAAAAGGUAGGAGUUGAACCUGUCACUCUGGAGCUUCUCAUCCAGGUCAAACGUCCUCUUCCCCUCAAUCUCAUCGUCCGAGAUCCCGUCAUCCUGGUAGCGCCGCCGCGUCCCCGUACGCUAGUGACACAAGGCAGAAACUCAACUUGUUGUAUCACUUUGAAUGAAUUUUCUCCCAUGCAUAUGUAACAGUAUUGCUUCCACUCAAGGAGCACAGUUGUUGUUGCUCGACCACGAGAUCAUUUGCAGACCGUUCACUCUUUGGUCUGCAUGGUCAAUGCAGCAGAUGCAACAAUAUGUAGGUUUUUUUCUGGAUCAAAAAGGGGCUUAGGUGGUGGGCGAGGCAAUGGGCCCAAUCAGUCCAUAUGGACUUCAGAGACAAUUUUAGAGGCCCCCAUCUUGGCGGUGUAGAGAAAUGUUUUAAUACUUAUGCAAAUUUCCUUAAAUUCUACAAAUUUCUCCAUGUAACUGAGAGAAAUUGUUUCAGUUUUAAAGCAAAUUUCCUGUAUUCUACACAUUUUGCCAUAAAGCUGAGAGAAUCUUGCAGUUUUUAAGUUAAUAUCCUGCAAUUGUAAAUAUUCUGUCAUUGAAGCUGAGAGAAUUUAGCCGUUUUAAAGCUAAUUUCCAGCAAUUCUAUGCAUGUGGCCAUGGCUAAUGCUAUGUUAUUUUGUUCAAACAUUAUAAUAAAAACAAUACUGCUAAAUUAA